Molecule: ribosomal RNA, 376 nt
Filed under: Allobates granti
Lineage: Eukaryota; Metazoa; Chordata; Amphibia; Anura; Aromobatidae
Description: partial 16S ribosomal RNA
Rfam family: Bacterial large subunit ribosomal RNA
Source: RNAcentral
GUGACAUUGUUCAACGGCCGCGGUAUUCUAACCGUGCGAAGGUAGCGUAAUCACUUGUUUUUUAAAUGAGGACUAGUAUGAAUGGCUUCACGAAGGCUAUACUGUCUCCCUUAUCUAAUCAGUUAAACUAAUCUUCCCGUGAAGAAGCGGGAAUAAGCCUAUAAGACGAGAAGACCCUAUGGAGCUUUAAACACUUUCAAACAUUUGAUAUUUAACAUUUUUAACUUUCAGUAAAACUUCAUUAAACCCAUCAAUUUGUUCUAAGUUUUAGGUUGGGGUGACCACGGAGAACAACCAAACCUCCACGUAGAAAGAAUCUCUCUCUAAGCAAAAAGCUACAGCUUUACGCAUCAAAAUACUGACCUUAAUUGACCCA